This 1820-nucleotide ribosomal RNA is filed under the name Pseudomonas aeruginosa. RNAcentral describes it as "bacterial LSU rRNA". It matches the Rfam family "Bacterial large subunit ribosomal RNA", at positions 841 to 2645 of the family's 2925-position model. The record is from RNAcentral. Lineage: Bacteria; Pseudomonadati; Pseudomonadota; Gammaproteobacteria; Pseudomonadales; Pseudomonadaceae.
GGAGAUAGCUGGUUCUCCUCGAAAGCUAUUUCGGUUGCGCGCUGAUGUAUCACUCUGGGGGGUAGAGCACUGUUUCGGCUAGGGGGUCAUCCCGACUUACCAAACCGAUGCAAACUCCGAAUACCCAGAAGUGCCGAGCAUGGGAGACACACGGCGGGUGCUAACGUCCGUCGUGAAAAGGGAAACAACCCAGACCGCCAGCUAAGGUCCCAAAGUUGUGGUUAAGUGGUAAACGAUGUGGGAAGGCUUAGACAGCUAGGAGGUUGGCUUAGAAGCAGCCAUCCUUUAAAGAAAGCGUAAUAGCUCACUAGUCGAGUCGGCCUGCGCGGAAGAUGUAACGGGGCUCAAACCACACACCGAAGCUGCGGGUGUCACGUAAGUGACGCGGUAGAGGAGCGUUCUGUAAGCCUGUGAAGGUGAGUUGAGAAGCUUGCUGGAGGUAUCAGAAGUGCGAAUGCUGACAUGAGUAACGACAAUGGGUGUGAAAAACACCCACGCCGAAAGACCAAGGGUUCCUGCGCAACGUUAAUCGACGCAGGGUUAGUCGGUUCCUAAGGCGAGGCUGAAAAGCGUAGUCGAUGGGAAACAGGUUAAUAUUCCUGUACUUCUGGUUACUGCGAUGGAGGGACGGAGAAGGCUAGGCCAGCUUGGCGUUGGUUGUCCAAGUUUAAGGUGGUAGGCUGAAAUCUUAGGUAAAUCCGGGGUUUCAAGGCCGAGAGCUGAUGACGAGUCGUCUUUUAGAUGACGAAGUGGUUGAUGCCAUGCUUCCAAGAAAAGCUUCUAAGCUUCAGGUAACCAGGAACCGUACCCCAAACCGACACAGGUGGUCGGGUAGAGAAUACCAAGGCGCUUGAGAGAACUCGGGUGAAGGAACUAGGCAAAAUGGCACCGUAACUUCGGGAGAAGGUGCGCCGGCUAGGGUGAAGGAUUUACUCCGUAAGCUCUGGCUGGUCGAAGAUACCAGGCCGCUGCGACUGUUUAUUAAAAACACAGCACUCUGCAAACACGAAAGUGGACGUAUAGGGUGUGACGCCUGCCCGGUGCCGGAAGGUUAAUUGAUGGGGUUAGCGCAAGCGAAGCUCUUGAUCGAAGCCCCGGUAAACGGCGGCCGUAACUAUAACGGUCCUAAGGUAGCGAAAUUCCUUGUCGGGUAAGUUCCGACCUGCACGAAUGGCGUAACGAUGGCGGCGCUGUCUCCACCCGAGACUCAGUGAAAUUGAAAUCGCUGUGAAGAUGCAGUGUAUCCGCGGCUAGACGGAAAGACCCCGUGAACCUUUACUGUAGCUUUGCACUGGACUUUGAGCCUGCUUGUGUAGGAUAGGUGGGAGGCUUUGAAGCGUGGACGCCAGUUCGCGUGGAGCCAUCCUUGAAAUACCACCCUGGCAUGCUUGAGGUUCUAACUCUGGUCCGUGAUCCGGAUCGAGGACAGUGUAUGGUGGGCAGUUUGACUGGGGCGGUCUCCUCCUAAAGAGUAACGGAGGAGUACGAAGGUGCGCUCAGACCGGUCGGAAAUCGGUCGCAGAGUAUAAAGGCAAAAGCGCGCUUGACUGCGAGACAGACACGUCGAGCAGGUACGAAAGUAGGUCUUAGUGAUCCGGUGGUUCUGUAUGGAAGGGCCAUCGCUCAACGGAUAAAAGGUACUCCGGGGAUAACAGGCUGAUACCGCCCAAGAGUUCAUAUCGACGGCGGUGUUUGGCACCUCGAUGUCGGCUCAUCACAUCCUGGGGCUGAAGCCGGUCCCAAGGGUAUGGCUGUUCGCCAUUUAAAGUGGUACGCGAGCUGGGUUUAGAACGUCGUGAGACAGUUCGGUCCCUAUCUGC